GUUUGAGAUCUAGCUGACAUUUCAAGGAUUUUCUGCACAUAAAUUGGGAAACCACAUUUAAAAUAGCAGACCCAAACCUCUACACAAGAGAAGAAAAAAAAUGAUUUAGAGUUUUAUUCAUGUCAAACAGAAUGAACUAGGUUACAAAGUAUAUAAAAAUUUGUAGACCCAAUCCUCUGUGUCCACUCUAACCUCAUCUACAAAACCACCAGGGCUUCGGGGACCUCGUUGGUGGCUGCACUAUCAUGGUUUGGCAUCAUCGUCAAGCAUUGGGGAUGCAGACU
This 284-nucleotide long non-coding RNA is filed under the name Phoenix dactylifera (date palm). Its description in RNAcentral is "long non-coding RNA (PDAC_LNC019433)". Lineage: Eukaryota; Viridiplantae; Streptophyta; Magnoliopsida; Arecales; Arecaceae. The record is from RNAcentral.